AUACUACUCCCUUCGUUUCAAAUUACUCGUCGCAGAAAUGGAUGUAUCUAGAACUAAAAUACAUCUAGAUACAUCCAUACCCGCGGCAAGUACUUCAGAACGGAGGGAGUAGGAC
Triticum urartu is the source of this 115-nucleotide non-coding RNA. NCBI's taxonomy places the organism in Eukaryota, Viridiplantae, Streptophyta, Magnoliopsida, Poales, Poaceae. The record is from Rfam.